AGCCGGCGAUGUCCGAAUGGGGAAACCCAGUGCAAUUCGUUGCACUAUCGUUAACUGAAUACAUAGGUUAACGAGGCGAACCGGGGGAACUGAAACAUCUAAGUACCCCGAGGAAAAGAAAUCAACCGAGAUUCCCCCAGUAGCGGCGAGCGAACGGGGAGCAGCCCAGAGUCUGAAUCAGCUUGUGUGUUAGUGGAACGGUCUGGAAAGUCCGACGGUACAGGGUGAUAGUCCCGUACACCAAAAUGCACAGGCUGUGAACUCGAAGAGUAGGGCGGGACACGUGGUAUCCUGUCUGAAUAUGGGGGGACCAUCCUCCAAGGCUAAAUACUCCUGACUGACCGAUAGUGAACCAGUACCGUGAGGGAAAGGCGAAAAGAACCCCGGCGAGGGGAGUGAAAAAGAACCUGAAACCGUGUACGUACAAGCAGUGGGAGCACCUUCGGGUGUGACUGCGUACCUUUUGUAUAAUGGGUCAGCGACUUAUAUUCUGUAGCAAGGUUAACCGUAUAGGGGAGCCGCAGGGAAACCGAGUCUUAACUGGGCGUUAAGUUGCAGGGUAUAGACCCGAAACCCGGUGAUCUAGCCAUGGGCAGGUUGAAGGUUGGGUAACACUAACUGGAGGACCGAACCGACUAAUGUUGAAAAAUUAGCGGAUGACUUGUGGCUGGGGGUGAAAGGCCAAUCAAACCGGGAGAUAGCUGGUUCUCCCCGAAAGCUAUUUAGGUAGCGCCUCGUGAACUCAUCUUCGGGGGUAGAGCACUGUUUCGGCUAGGGGGUCAUCCCGACUUACCAACCCGAUGCAAACUACGAAUACCGAAGAAUGUUAUCACGGGAGACACACGGCGGGUGCUAACGUCCGUCGUGAAGAGGGAAACAACCCAGACCGCCAGCUAAGGUCCCAAAGUCAUGGUUAAGUGGGAAACGAUGUGGGAAGGCACAGACAGCCAGGAUGUUGGCUUAGAAGCAGCCAUCAUUUAAAGAAAGCGUAAUAGCUCACUGGUCGAGUCGGCCUGCGCGGAAGAUGUAACGGGGCUAAACCAUGCACCGAAGCUGCGGCAGCGACACUAUGUGUUGUUGGGUAGGGGAGCGUUCUGUAAGCCUGCGAAGGUGACCUGUGAGGGUUGCUGGAGGUAUCAGAAGUGCGAAUGCUGACAUAAGUAACGAUAAAGCGGGUGAAAAGCCCGCUCGCCGGAAGACCAAGGGUUCCUGUCCAACGUUAAUCGGGGCAGGGUGAGUCGACCCCUAAGGCGAGGCCGAAAGGCGUAGUCGAUGGGAAACAGGUUAAUAUUCCUGUACUUGGUGUUACUGCGAAGGGGGGACGGAGAAGGCUAUGUUAGCCGGGCGACGGUUGUCCCGGUUUAAGCAUGUAGGCUGAUUGUCCAGGCAAAUCCGGAUAAUCAAGGCUGAGGUGUGAUGACGAGGCACUACGGUGCUGAAGUAACAAAUGCCCUGCUUCCAGGAAAAGCCUCUAAGCAUCAGGUAACAUCAAAUCGUACCCCAAACCGACACAGGUGGUCAGGUAGAGAAUACCAAGGCGCUUGAGAGAACUCGGGUGAAGGAACUAGGCAAAAUGGUGCCGUAACUUCGGGAGAAGGCACGCUGGUGUGUAGGUGAAGUCCCUGCGGAUGGAGCUGAGACCAGUCGAAGAUACCAGCUGGCUGCAACUGUUUAUUAAAAACACAGCACUGUGCAAACACGAAAGUGGACGUAUACGGUGUGACGCCUGCCCGGUGCCGGAAGGUUAAUUGAUGGGGUUAUCCGUAAGGAGAAGCUCUUGAUCGAAGCCCCGGUAAACGGCGGCCGUAACUAUAACGGUCCUAAGGUAGCGAAAUUCCUUGUCGGGUAAGUUCCGACCUGCACGAAUGGCGUAAUGAUGGCCAGGCUGUCUCCACCCGAGACUCAGUGAAAUUGAACUCGCUGUGAAGAUGCAGUGUACCCGCGGCAAGACGGAAAGACCCCGUGAACCUUUACUAUAGCUUGACACUGAACAUUGAGCCUUGAUGUGUAGGAUAGGUGGGAGGCUUUGAAGCGUGGACGCCAGUCUGCGUGGAGCCAACCUUGAAAUACCACCCUUUAAUGUUUGAUGUUCUAACGUUGGCCCCUUACCGGGGUUGCGGACAGUGUCUGGUGGGUAGUUUGACUGGGGCGGUCUCCUCCCAAAGCGUAACGGAGGAGCACGAAGGUUAGCUAAUCCUGGUCGGACAUCAGGAGGUUAGUGCAAUGGCAUAAGCUAGCUUGACUGCGAGCGUGACGGCGCGAGCAGGUGCGAAAGCAGGUCAUAGUGAUCCGGUGGUUCUGAAUGGAAGGGCCAUCGCUCAACGGAUAAAAGGUACUCCGGGGAUAACAGGCUGAUACCGCCCAAGAGUUCAUAUCGACGGCGGUGUUUGGCACCUCGAUGUCGGCUCAUCACAUCCUGGGGCUGAAGUAGGUCCCAAGGGUAUGGCUGUUCGCCAUUUAAAGUGGUACGCGAGCUGGGUUUAGAACGUCGUGAGACAGUUCGGUCCCUAUCUGCCGUGGGCGCUGGAGAAUUGAGGGGGGCUGCUCCUAGUACGAGAGGACCGGAGUGGACGCAUCACUGGUGUUCGGGUUGUCAUGCCAAUGGCACUGCCCGGUAGCUAAAUGCGGAAGAGAUAAGUGCUGAAAGCAUCUAAGCACGAAACUUGCCCCGAGAUGAGUUCUCCCUGAGACUUUAAGUCUCCUGAAGGAACGUU
Molecule: ribosomal RNA, 2714 nt
Filed under: Klebsiella pneumoniae
Lineage: Bacteria; Pseudomonadati; Pseudomonadota; Gammaproteobacteria; Enterobacterales; Enterobacteriaceae
Description: partial 23S ribosomal RNA
Rfam family: Bacterial large subunit ribosomal RNA
Source: RNAcentral